UACCUUUGACAAACCUUUACAUUUCUAUACUACUAGGGCUUGUCUGGUAGCCCUCAUUUGGGCUGAAACACCCCUUCCACCACUCCUAAACCGUCGUUUGGUAGCUCUAAUACCAAUCUGCCGACCCGGAAUAAACAACCGGGUUUCACACUUGCAUAUACUAGUAUCAGCAGAAUUGUGUCAACACAAUCAGAGAGGAGAGAGGGGAGUGGUAUUAGUUUCACGAUUUCGCCGAUUACAAGGGGAGGAAGGUAUUUGGCCGAAAUUGCCCUCUGCAGCCGUUGCAAAAUUGCAUCUUGUGAACCGACGAAGGUCAAAUUUGGUCGGCACAGUGCCGGCGAGGAUAACUGUUCACUCCCGAUUGUCGUCCUCUUUUCAAUUCCGGCUCCUUCGCACUACCUUCAUCCGGUAUUGCUACUGCUUACUGUGGAAUGGGGAAAAAAGGAGGAAGGAGAUGGAGGCCGCGGUAGUGAUGAUUGAGGACCUGAUUCGUGCUCUGCUCGUCUGACUCCGCGGAUGUGGUUGUGGAUUUCGUGAACUAUGUGUAGUAGAGUUCUCCCCUGAGGUAAUGGUAUGUAAUGGGAUUGUGCAUCUGCUGAUUUGUUUGAUAAAUCCAAUCCGGUUAGUGUUUGACGGGAAAGUGGGGUCUGGUCUGGUUCUGUGAAACUUGCGUUUGUAGCCUUUGAUUUUCAAUUGUGAAUGGAGUAAUGCCGUCCCUAAUACUUGUUCACAUACUUGUUCAUCUUCUCCCCAUUUCUAUGUAUUGGUGUAAAUUGUUGAUUUCCCUUGCCAA
Salvia hispanica is the source of this 793-nucleotide long non-coding RNA. RefSeq lists it as uncharacterized. The record is from RefSeq and is a predicted model, not a curated record. NCBI's taxonomy places the organism in Eukaryota, Viridiplantae, Streptophyta, Magnoliopsida, Lamiales, Lamiaceae.